CCUUCGACGUUAGCGGCGGACGGGUGAGUAACACGUGGGCAACCUACCUUAUAGUUUGGGAUAACUCCGGGAAACCGGGGCUAAUACCGAAUAAUCUGUUUCACCUCAUGGUGAAACACUGAAAGACGGUUUCGGCUGUCGCUAUAGGAUGGGCCCGCGGCGCAUUAGCUAGUUGGUGAGGUAACGGCUCACCAAGGCGACGAUGCGUAGCCGACCUGAGAGGGUGAUCGGCCACACUGGGACUGAGACACGGCCCAGACUCCUACGGGAGGCAGCAGUAGGGAAUCUUCCACAAUGGGCGAAAGCCUGAUGGAGCAACGCCGCGUGAGUGAAGAAGGAUUUCGGUUCGUAAAACUCUGUUGUAAGGGAAGAACAAGUACAGUAGUAACUGGCUGUACCUUGACGGUACCUUAUUAGAAAGCCACGGCUAACUACGUGCCAGCAGCCGCGGUAAUACGUAGGUGGCAAGCGUUGUCCGGAAUUAUUGGGCGUAAAGCGCGCGCAGGUGGUUUCUUAAGUCUGAUGUGAAAGCCCACGGCUCAACCGUGGAGGGUCAUUGGAAACUGGGAGACUUGAGUGCAGAAGAGGAUAGUGGAAUU
This 599-nucleotide ribosomal RNA is filed under the name Lysinibacillus fusiformis. RNAcentral describes it as "bacterial SSU rRNA". It matches the Rfam family "Bacterial small subunit ribosomal RNA", at positions 83 to 668 of the family's 1533-position model. Lineage: Bacteria; Bacillati; Bacillota; Bacilli; Caryophanales; Bacillaceae. The record is from RNAcentral.